RNAcentral lists this non-coding RNA (111 nucleotides) under Bacillus sp. (in: firmicutes). Its description in RNAcentral is "Bacillus sp. SAM-I sequence". It matches the Rfam family "SAM riboswitch aptamer (S box leader)". From Rfam's summary of the family: The SAM riboswitch is found upstream of a number of genes which code for proteins involved in methionine or cysteine biosynthesis in Gram-positive bacteria. The SAM riboswitch acts at the level of transcription termination control. RNAcentral also lists the same sequence under 1 other name. Lineage: Bacteria; Bacillati; Bacillota; Bacilli; Caryophanales; Bacillaceae. The record is from RNAcentral.
UUCUUAUCAAGAGAGGUCGAGGGUAAGGCCCGUAGACACCUCAGCAACCAUUAAUCUAUGAGAUUAAUAAGGUGCUAAUUCCUGCAAGUUUUAUAACUUGAAAGAUAAGAA